CUUAACCUAAAACUUUCUCACGCCUCAGCUCUCUCUCUCUCUCUCUCUCUCUCUCUCUCUCUUCGCCAUCUCUCAAGUCUCUCUUCUCUCACGCCUCAGCUCUCUCUCUCUCUCUCUCUCUCUCUCUCUCUCUCUCUCCACCAUCUCUCACGCCUCAGCUCUCUCUCUCUCUCUCCACCAUCUCUCACGCCUCUCUUCAGCAUCUCUCACGCCUCAGCUCUCUCUCUCUCUCUCUCUCUCUCCUUCACCAUAUCUCACGCCUCUCUUCACGAUCUCUCUCACACCUCUCUUCACCAUCUCUCACGAUCUCUCUUCUCCAUCUCUCACACCUCUCUUCACCAUCUCUCACGCCUCAGCUCUCUCAAAGGCCAGUUCUCUCUCUCUCUCUCUCCACCAUCUCUCUCCAUCUCUCUUAGCGUUUUGUGUUAGGAACUUAGGAUAAUGGAACCUUUAGAUUAAUUAAGUUGGAUGUUGGGUUUUUUGAUUCUUGAUAUGGGUUGCUUUUAGAUUUAAGAUUUUGAUUAUCAAAUCUCUGUUUUGUAAGUAAUACAUGGGUACCAGACCUUGCAACUCUGUACGUUCCUUUGAUCUCUAUCUCAGAAACCAAUACAUGUGUGUUAUUGGCAUUUGUGAAGGAAUCUAAAUAUCUGAACUUACAUUCGUAGAUGUGGGGUUAUAUAAUAGUUUAUUAUUAUUAUGUAGAAUCAGUGACAUUAAAUAUAUCUUUGUGGGGAUUAUGUGUUUAGAGUUUGUGUUUCACUUAGUUCUGCAGAUUGCUUUAACUUGGGUUUGUCGGAUUACAGCCUGCUUGUGUCAGCUAGAACCUGUUAUUUUUAAAAUUUCGUUUAUACAUUGGUUAUUACCAUUUAUUGCUUCCUUCACAUUGCCAUCAAUAUAUACAUAUGCCUUUCUUUUUAUUUUUGUUGUUGUAGGUGUGUGUUCUACUUGGUUCUCCGAGCUCUUGAUACUAUCUUUUCAGAUUUGGACAUAAAUCACAACUAGACAGAAAGAAUGGCUAAUGAUGUAAGAUUCUAAUACAGCUCUUGUUUCUUAGAUGUUUCUGUUUUCUUUUGCGACUUAGAUUGCAGUAAUUGUUAAGCCAAUGAAUGAUUUGCAGAUGGUUAGGUGAUACUUGGAUGAGGACGAAUAUGAGGACGAUCUGCUUAAGCUAGAGAGAUUACUUCAAAAAACAGAUCGAGGCGCUGGAUGGCAUCAUGUUCAGCAGCUUAUGCACCUUACUAGUUUAUUUGAUUUGAGUUUGUACUGAUUUUUAUUAUUAGUUACUCGUAUGACCACUUUUCCUAUUGUUUAAAUCGAAAUCUUUGUAACAAUUGUGAGAGAGUUUAUGAUUUAGACCAAAAUGAUGGGAUUUUCUUAAUAAGAAAGCUCUUAUAAAAAGCUACAGUUUUUUUCUUCUAGGGGAAUGAUAAAGUUGAUGUGUGAAUGGCUUGUGGGGUGUUCUUCCCAUCAUUACACUUUCGGAUUAUUUAAAAAGGAAUAAGUUUUGGUAUUCGAAUUCUAAGUACUCCUAGUCGAUUGAUAUUUAUCUUAUAACUUUAACCUUUUAAUAACAAUGUAGUUUUGUUUUUAUUUGAAAAAUUGUUUGAAAUACCAUAAGUUAGUUAAUACUUUUCAAAAAUAUAUUCAAUCAAAAUACUCUAACAUUUAGGUUCAUUUAGUAAUUAUUGUUUAGAGUUUAGUAUUUAUGAGAAUUAGUUUAAUUUUUUUUCAUCAUAAACUUAAAAUACAUAAACUUAAAAUAUUUAUGAAAAUAAUUGAAAAAUAAAUGAAUUUUAAAAAUGAUAUCAAAUAAAUAUUUGGUCGCUAGCGAUACCGAAACGAACAACUCAGCGACAACCGCUGCGAUCAAUCUCGCGACCUUCAAACGAACAACUAUCAGCGACACUAUGUCGCAGUCGCUGGUCGCUGACUCUGGUCGCUGACGCUGGCGACCACGAAACGAACAGGGCCUAUCUCUCUAUGUACUCCAUAAUAGAGAUGAAAACAAAGAAAGAAUCCAAUGUUCUUCAGCUAAUUUGACUUUGGUGCCUUGGUGAAAUGUAACUUGAUAAGAGAAGGAAGAUCAACUAGCUCCACUCGCUGCUUCCCAAGCAAAAUGCUCUUCAGCUUUUCAUCACAGUUAACCACAUUCUUGUUCUUUGGAUCCUUUUUUUUUAAGAAACAACAAUAAAACAAUCAGGCAAUGAUACAAACAAAAACAAAGAAACAUUAUAACUAAAUGGUCCCUUGUUUCUGACCUGGAGAUUGUUGGUCUUGAUGUAAGACCAGACACGCAUGAAACAACCCAGACGAGAAAUCUGAGAUUGACCAAGGAAGUCACGCAGAGUAGAUGGAAGGUUCACGAGGUCAAUCAAAUUCCCAAGCUUCUUAGGGUUAUCAGUUAUCGCCUUCUUCAACCUCUGCGGCUGCAUCUUGAUUCUAAAUUCUACGCCAAUACACACAAUCAACACUAGAAAUUCAACUACUGAUUCCUCAUUGGGGAAUUUUAUCGAGCACUUAGUGUGCAAUGAAAAGAAAACGAAACUCGACUUAAACUUACCCAGGAGAUGGUAAUGUAAGCUAAACGCAACAACAAGUUAACGCAACGUAGCUGAAGCUUUUACACCGCAACAGUCGCAGUUUAAAAUGCUUCGACGUUUGAAACGCUGUAAGCUUGCAACUUUGAUAAAGGAAGAAAGUUAAAAGACUAGAGGAAGUACGGAUCCAUACCUUCCGACCCAGAAAGCGGGUUUCGUCGAAUACAUGUAUUGGGCUACUAGUAAUAUAUGGGCCGAGGUACAUCCAUCCUAUACAUUCGAUUGAUUUUUUGGAUAAAUCAUAAAAGGAAGAAGAUCUUUCGUAAAGCACUCUCAGCCGUUGGAUUAAAAAGUGAACCAUCAACCGUCCGAUAGAUGCCCUACGGUUCUUCCACUUUAUGAUAAAGAGAGGUAUCCGAUGCGUCCUUACAAAUUCGCGGCGUAUCAAUUUUGAGAGUUUCGUCAAUUUAAUUUGUUUAUAACCUCUCACGCCUACUCUCACCCAUUCCUCACAUUGACUAUCGUCUCGUUCUCUCUCUCACCGGAAGUAGAAAGCCAACGAUGUCUGCAACACAGGAAGAAGACAAGAAGCCCGGUGGUGACGGAGGAGUUCACAUCAAUCUCAAGGUCAAGGGUCAGGUAACUUCUCUUUCUUUCUUAGCUUUUGUUUUUUUGCUGAGAUCUCGUGUUGGGUGCGAUUAAGGUUUUUUUUUUUAAUUGUUGGUUGGUUUUAGAUCCAAAACCUAGUGAUGUUUGUGAGACAUGAGUAGCGUGUUUUGCUUUCGUUCGCAUAUUGUUUAUCAUAAUUAUGAACAUGUAACCCUA
This 3362-nucleotide long non-coding RNA is filed under the name Brassica rapa (field mustard). RNAcentral describes it as "long non-coding RNA (BRAP_LNC000206)". Lineage: Eukaryota; Viridiplantae; Streptophyta; Magnoliopsida; Brassicales; Brassicaceae. The record is from RNAcentral.